UCCCUUGUAGCUCAGUCGGUAGAGAAUCUGCCCGCAGUGCAGGAGACCCAGGUUCAAUCCCUGGGUUGGGAA
RNAcentral lists this transfer RNA (72 nucleotides) under Ovis aries (sheep). It matches the Rfam family "tRNA". From Rfam's summary of the family: Transfer RNA (tRNA) molecules are approximately 80 nucleotides in length. Their secondary structure includes four short double-helical elements and three loops (D, anti-codon, and T loops). Further hydrogen bonds mediate the characteristic L-shaped molecular structure. tRNAs have two regions of fundamental functional importance: the anti-codon, which is responsible for specific mRNA codon recognition, and the 3' end, to which the tRNAs corresponding amino acid is attached (by aminoacyl-tRNA synthetases). tRNAs cope with the degeneracy of the genetic code in two manners: having more than one tRNA (with a specific anti-codon) for a particular amino acid; and 'wobble' base-pairing, i.e. permitting non-standard base-pairing at the 3rd anti-codon position. Lineage: Eukaryota; Metazoa; Chordata; Mammalia; Artiodactyla; Bovidae. The record is from Rfam by way of RNAcentral.